AGGGAAUAGAUACCCGGGUAGUCCACGCCCUAAACGAUGUCGACUGGUUGUUGGGGGUUUGACACUCUCAGUAAACGAAAGCUAAACGCGUGAAAGUCGACCGCCUGGGGAGUACGGCCGCAAGGUUAAAACUCAAAGGAAUUGACGGGGACCCGCACAAGCGGUGGAUUAUGUGGAUUAAUUCGAUGCAACGCGAAAAACCUUACCUACCCUUGACAUGUCCGAGAGCCCGCUGAGAGGCGGGUGUGCCCGAAAGGGAAUCGGAACACAGGUGCUGCAUGGCUGUCGUCAGCUCGUGUCGUGAGAUGUUGGGUUAAGUCCCGCAACGAGCGCAACCCUUGCCAUUAGUUGCCACCCGUAAGGGGGCACUCUAAUGGGACUGCCGGUGACAAACCGGAGGAAGGUGGGGAUGACGUCAAGUCCUCAUGGCCCUUAUGGGUAGGGCUUCACACGUAAUACAAUGGCGCGUACAGAGGGUUGCCAAGGAGCGAUCUGGAGCCAAUCCCGUAAAGCGCGUCGUAGUCCGGAUUGCAGUCUGCAACUCGACUGCAUGAA
Molecule: ribosomal RNA, 555 nt
Filed under: uncultured bacterium
Lineage: Bacteria
Description: bacterial SSU rRNA
Rfam family: Bacterial small subunit ribosomal RNA
Source: RNAcentral